This 254-nucleotide ribosomal RNA is filed under the name uncultured microorganism. RNAcentral's name for it is "partial 16S ribosomal RNA". It matches the Rfam family "Archaeal small subunit ribosomal RNA", at positions 474 to 727 of the family's 1478-position model. The record is from RNAcentral.
CACCGGCGGCUCGAGUGGUGGCCACUUUUAUUGGGUCUAAAGCGUCCGUAGCCGGCUUGGCAAGUCCCCUGGGAAAUCUGGCGGCUUAACCGUCAGGCGUCCAGAGGAUACUGCCAGGCUUGGGACCGGGAGAGGUGAGGGGUACCUCAGGGGUAGGGGUGAAAUCUUGUGAUCCCUGAGGGACCACCAGUGGCGAAGGCGUCUCACUAGAACGGGUCCGACGGUCAGGGACGAAAGCUGGGGGCACGAACCGG